GAUGAACGCUAGCGGCAGGCUUAACACAUGCAAGUCGAGGGGCAGCAUAGUGGAUAGCAAUAUCUAUGGUGGCGACCGGCGCACGGGUGCGUAACGCGUAUGCAACCUACCUUUAACAGGGGGAUAACACUGAGAAAUUGGUACUAAUACCCCAUAAUAUCAUAGAAGGCAUCUUUUAUGGUUGAAAAUUCCGAUGGUUAGAGAUGGGCAUGCGUUGUAUUAGCUAGUUGGUGGGGUAACGGCUCACCAAGGCGACGAUACAUAGGGGACUGAGAGGUUAACCCCCACACUGGUACUGAGACACGGACCAGACUCCUACGGAGGCAGCAGUGAGGAAUAUUGGUCAAUGGACGCAAGUCUGAACCAGCCAUGCCGCGUGCAGGAUGACGGCUCUAUGAGUUGUAAACUGCUUUUGUACUAGGGUAAACUCACCUACGUGUAGGUGACUGAAAGUAUAGUACGAAUAAGGAUCGGCUAACUCCGUGCCAG
RNAcentral lists this ribosomal RNA (489 nucleotides) under uncultured bacterium. Its description in RNAcentral is "bacterial SSU rRNA". It matches the Rfam family "Bacterial small subunit ribosomal RNA", at positions 28 to 511 of the family's 1533-position model. The record is from RNAcentral.